UAAGCGGAGGAAAAGAAACCAACAGGGAUUGCCUUAGUAGCGGCGAGUGAAGCGGCAAAAGCUCAAAUUUGAAAUCUGGCUCUUUCAGAGUCCGAGUUGUAAUUUGAAGAAGGUAUCUUUGGGUCUGGCUCUUGUCUAUGUUUCUUGGAACAGAACGUCACAGAGGGUGAGAAUCCCGUGCGAUGAGAUGAUCCAGGCCUAUGUAAAGUUCCUUCGAAGAGUCGAGUUGUUUGGGAAUGCAGCUCUAAGUGGGUGGUAAAUUCCAUCUAAAGCUAAAUAUUGGCGAGAGACCGAUAGCGAACAAGUACAGUGAUGGAAAGAUGAAAAGAACUUUGAAAAGAGAGUGAAAAAGUACGUGAAAUUGUUGAAAGGGAAGGGCUUGAGAUCAGACUUGGUAUUUUGUAUGUUACUUCUUCGGGGGUGGCCUCUACAGUUUAUCGGGCCAGCAUCAGUUUGGGCGGUAGGAGAAUUGCGUUGGAAUGUGGCACGGCCUCGGUUGUGUGUUAUAGCCUUCGUCGAUACUGCCAGCCUAGACUGAGGACUGCGGUUUAUACCUAGGAUGUUGGCAUAAUGAUCUUAAGUCGCCCGUCUUGAA
Molecule: ribosomal RNA, 595 nt
Filed under: Candida tropicalis
Lineage: Eukaryota; Fungi; Ascomycota; Pichiomycetes; Serinales; Debaryomycetaceae
Description: eukaryotic LSU rRNA
Rfam family: Eukaryotic large subunit ribosomal RNA
Source: RNAcentral